Non-coding RNA from Danio rerio (zebrafish), 632 nucleotides. The record is from Ensembl. NCBI's taxonomy places the organism in Eukaryota, Metazoa, Chordata, Actinopteri, Cypriniformes, Danionidae.
UCAGCAGCAGCAAAAGCUCCUACCCCUCCACAAUAGAGACGGAUAUGGCUGAGGUUGCCCGUCGCCUCAGCCAGCGGUGCGAGCUGCAUCCCAGGACCCAGAUGGAAUUUUGCAGCUUCUGCGUGGCCACACUAGUGUGGCUACACCGUCUGGGUCAUGUAAGCGUUAGGGAGCUUAAGGUGCGGGAGUGGCUGGGCAGGCGGCCAGAGGGGGACGCUGUCAUUCUGACGCUUCCCAGCAAAGCCGUGAGCCUGAGCCGAAAAGAGGAAGAGUGGCUGGAGUGCUAUUUCAGACACGUCCGGCCACUCUGCCUUAAGGCUCAGGCUUCGGGAACGGAUGACAGAGGAUGCUUCUUCCUGGGAGCGUCAGGACUCCCCCUUACUAACCCCACCGCAGACAUCCAGCGCCUGAAAGCAAAGUACAUCAAGAGGCAGCCCGUACCGCCCCCUACCACCGCCGCUCGACCUUCUCCAGCUGCACUGGCUCAGCCGCCUGCUCCAGCUGGCGAGGAGAGGCCGUCCACCUCUGACCUGCAACCCCCUCCGUUACCUCCGCCUCGUUAUUGGGGGGCUUUUCAGGACAAGUUUCCAAUCAACUUGAAUGGGAAGCCCCCUAGUAUGGCGGAGGCAGCC